Lepisosteus oculatus (spotted gar) is the source of this 1366-nucleotide long non-coding RNA. RefSeq lists it as uncharacterized. The record is from RefSeq and is a predicted model, not a curated record. NCBI's taxonomy places the organism in Eukaryota, Metazoa, Chordata, Actinopteri, Semionotiformes, Lepisosteidae.
UCAAGUUUAAAUGCGUGUUUUAAGCCAUCACCUGUGCUGCUUUCAGUGGUGUUUGAUCUCUGUCUUUGGUUACUGUAGUAAAGGCAUAGAUUCGUUGACAUGAGUUACAGUAUAAUGUUUAUGCACUGUAGACGUGCGUAAUGGGUUCUGCUUUAUUCAGUCUCUACAAAGAAGCGUGCGAAUUGCGCUUCGCAGCAUGUGGUCCCAUAAACGAUCAGAAAUACGGACAUUAUGUAAGGCUACAAACGAUUCAAGAAUCUAUUACCAUACAUAAAGGAUGUUAGUUUAACCAAAAUUUUAUUUAAAAGAAUAAUAUGUAUGGAAACGACAAAACAUUAUUCUAUGCAACAGCAACUUUCCUGUCGCUGGAAAAAAAACGGUAGGCUAUGUUAUCUGUUAAAGAGGGAUUAACUGUUCAUUUAUGAUUUUUAGCUGAUAUAUACAGUAUAUACAACUAAGGAUCGGGUCGAACAUGCGCAUUACGUACGUGAGGCGGUAGAGAAAAUAUAUUUGUAAAUCCUUCAACAACACUGUUUCGUACAGGGCAUAGUGUUAGCGUAUCAGAAAUAAAGCUUGCGUACAGUAUAUGCUGGCUUUAAAUCAUAGUAACAGAUGACUGCACAAAGUAGUACAGCUCUCGUAAGCUGGUUUCCGUGGGUGUUUGGGACUUUCUAUAACCAAAAGGCCUCUUGAAGACCCCCCCUAACGCGAAGCGUUUCGAAACUCGUUUUGGAGGAGAGCGCAAGUCUAAAGUGUGCAUAGAAAUGGUAUGGCGCCGUUUCCGAGACGUUUAGUUGACAAUAAUUGUACACUUUUGUAUUUCGUAACUGUUAAUUGUGUAGCACAAUUUGGUGCCAGUGCGAAACAAAGUAAAAUUGAACUGCGGUUCUCGCCGUUACGAGGGGCGGCGUGAGAGGACGUCCAAAUCAGCAACACCUGGGCACAAGAUGGCGGCUUUUCCAAACCGCUGAGGAUCGAGUAGGCCUGCGUUUCUGUAAAUCGAAUACUUUUCAUAUAUGUAUGUUUUUUUCUUUUAUUGUUGACGGAUAGAAAUGUUCCUGUCGAGUACGCUGCAUGUACGUUUUUUUCCCCAUGUAAAUCCGAACUAGCGUUGUUUUCGGUGCCGUUUUAAGGAACGAUUUUUAUGGAGAGAAGACCGUUUUUUUUGUCUUCAAGGGAGUGGGAAGUGUUGGGUGGCCCAUCCCUGCAGUCUGCCACCACGGACAGAUUCACCACAAAGAGAAGAGAAGUGUUUCCCCAAGCCCUUCUCAAACAGACGGUGGCAACGAACCAAGGACCCGGUUACCUGGAGGAACAUGCCAGAGUCCCUCUUUGGAGCUUAUUAUUAAAAUGUUUUUUAAUUCAA